GAUGAACGCUGGCGGCGUGCCUAAUACAUGCAAGUCGAGCGACCAGACGAGGAGCUUGCUCCUCUGACGUUAGCGGCGGACGGGUGGGUAACACGUGGAUCACCUACCUCUAAGACUGGGAUAACUUCGGGAGACCGGAGCUAAUACCGGAUAAUAUAUUCAACCGCUUGGUUCAAUAGUGCAUGACGCUUUUCCUGUCACUUUUAGAUGGAUCCGCGCCGCAUUAGCUAGUUGGUAAGGUAACGGCUUACCAAGGCGACGAUGCGUAGCCGACCUGAGAGGGUGAUCGGCCACACUGGAACGGAGACACGGUCCAGACUCCUACGGGAGGCAGCAGUAGGGAAUCUUCCGCAAUGGGCGAAAGCCUGACGGAGCAACGCCGCGUGAGUGAUGAAGGUCUUCGGAUCGUAAAACUCUGUUAUUAGGGAAGAACAAAUGUGUAAGUAACUAUGCACGUCUUGACGGUACCUAAUCAGAAAGCCACGGCUAACUACGUG
This 497-nucleotide ribosomal RNA is filed under the name uncultured bacterium. Its description in RNAcentral is "partial 16S ribosomal RNA". It matches the Rfam family "Bacterial small subunit ribosomal RNA", at positions 28 to 507 of the family's 1533-position model. The record is from RNAcentral.